CUGCUGCCUUCCGUAGGAGUCUGGUCCGUGUCUCAGUACCAGUGUGGGGGGCCGUUCCUCUCAGAACCCCUACGCAUCGUCGCCUCGGUGGGCCGUUACCCCGCCGACUAGCUAAUGCGCCGCAUGCCCAUCCGUGGCCGGGAUUGCUCCCUUUGGCGGCCUUGGGAUGUCCCUAGGCCGCGUUACGCGGUAUUAGACGGGUUUCCCCCGCUUAUCCCCCUGCCACGGGCAGGUUGCAUACGUGUUACUCACCCGUGCGCCGGUCGCCGGCAACGG
This 276-nucleotide ribosomal RNA is filed under the name uncultured bacterium. RNAcentral describes it as "partial 16S ribosomal RNA". The record is from RNAcentral.